UACAGAGGGUGCAAACGUUGUUCGGAAUUACUGGGCGUAAAGCGAGUGUAGGCGGUUUGGUAAGUCGGAUGUGAAAGCCCCGGGCUCAACCCGGGAAGUGCACUCGAUACUGCCAAGCUAGAGUAUCGGAGAGGUUGGUGGAAUUCUCGGUGUAGCAGUGAAAUGCGUAGAUAUCAAGAGGAACACCAGUGGCGAAGGCGGGUCUCUGGGCAUUCCCUGACGCUGAGGCGCGAAAGCGUGGGGAGCAAACGGG
This 253-nucleotide ribosomal RNA is filed under the name uncultured bacterium. RNAcentral describes it as "partial 16S ribosomal RNA". It matches the Rfam family "Bacterial small subunit ribosomal RNA", at positions 524 to 776 of the family's 1533-position model. The record is from RNAcentral.